This 497-nucleotide ribosomal RNA is filed under the name uncultured bacterium. Its description in RNAcentral is "partial 16S ribosomal RNA". It matches the Rfam family "Bacterial small subunit ribosomal RNA", at positions 28 to 507 of the family's 1533-position model. The record is from RNAcentral.
GAUGAACGCUGGCGGCGUGCUUAAUACAUGCAAGUCGAACGAACGGACGCGAAGCUUGCUUCUCUGAUGUUAGCGGCGGCCGGGUGAGUAACACGUGGAUACCCCCCCUAUAAGACUGGGAAAACUUCGGGAACCCGGAGCUAAUCCCGGAUAAUAUUUUGAUCCUCAUGGUUCAAUAGUGAAAGACGGUCUUGCUGUCACUUAUAGAUGUAUCCGCGCUGCAUUGGCUAGUUGGUAAGGUAACGGCUUACCAAGGCAACGAUGCGUAGCCGACCGGAGAGGGUGAUCGGCCACACUGGAACUGAGACACGGUCCAGACUCCUAAGGGAGGCAGCAGUAGCGAAUCUGCCGCAAUGGGCGAAAGCCUGACGGAGCAACGCCGCGUGAGUGAUGAAGGUCUUCGGAUCGUAAAACUCUGUUAUGAGGGAAGAACAUAUUUGUAAGUAACUGUGCACGUCUUGACGGUACCUAAUCAGAAAGCCACGGCUAACUACGUG